CACCUGUUACAUUUCACAAAUAAAGCAGCUGUGAUGCUCUUAGAUUAUAAUUUUAGUUUGGGUUCAGGGGUCUGUUUACAAGGCUUAUCUCUGGACCAUACCCAUAGGUCAUGCUUGUACUUGUGUUCCACAGUGAUCUGUGAGAGCAUAAUGGACACAGUGGGAAUACAGGUUCCCAAUGGUCACCUAGUGAUGCUCCAACUGCAAAAGGCAAUUUGCCCAUGACAGUGAACCUAAGCCAAAGCAAAUCCCUACAAACCUCAAGUUCUCAGGACUGACUGCUUCAUUUCACUGACUUGCUUCUACUGAGCUGCACUAGGUGUUUUGCUCCCUCUCUCCUCCAGUUCCUCACUGCUCAGCCUCAUCAGCUCCUCUGCCCCUUGUCUCUGGAGACACAUGGGGGAGAAAGCAAGAUGGAAGAGUCCAGAUGAGACAGGAUGGUGAAGCAGCCAGAGGGAGGAAGUAAAGCUGCUGAGAUAUCUCCUUCUUGAAGGAAGUACCUCAGAGAGAUAGGCCUUCAAAGACCUUCAAGCUUAAAUGUCAGGUUUCAUCUGUAUAAAUAUUACAAUGAAGACAGCUCCUCUGUUAACCUCCACCCCCAAUCAAAAUGAGACAGAAUAAGAGCAGAAGAACAUUAGCACA
Long non-coding RNA from Passer domesticus (house sparrow), 642 nucleotides. RefSeq lists it as uncharacterized. The record is from RefSeq and is a predicted model, not a curated record. The transcript has 2 exons. NCBI's taxonomy places the organism in Eukaryota, Metazoa, Chordata, Aves, Passeriformes, Passeridae.